UAACCCCGCCGUAGCCAUCCCAGUGUCCUG
Molecule: non-coding RNA, 30 nt
Filed under: Homo sapiens (human)
Lineage: Eukaryota; Metazoa; Chordata; Mammalia; Primates; Hominidae
Source: RNAcentral